RNAcentral lists this ribosomal RNA (372 nucleotides) under uncultured organism. RNAcentral describes it as "bacterial SSU rRNA". It matches the Rfam family "Bacterial small subunit ribosomal RNA", at positions 526 to 896 of the family's 1533-position model. The record is from RNAcentral.
CGGGGGGGGCAAGCGUUGUUCGGAAUUACUGGGCGUAAAGGGCUAGUAGGCGGCCAACUAAGUCGGACGUGAAAUCCCCAGGCUCAACCUGGGAACUGCGUCCGAUACUGGAUGGCUUAAAUCCGGGAGAGGGAUGCGGAAUUCCAGGUGUAGCGGUGAAAUGCGUAGAUAUCUGGAGGAACACCGGUGGCGAAGGCGGCACCCUGGACCGGCAUUGACGCUGAUAUAGCGAAAGCCAGGGGAGCAAACGGGAUUAGAUACCCCGGUAGUCCUGGCCCUAAACGAUGAAUGCUUGGUGUAACGGGUAUCGAUCCCUGUUGUGCCGAAGCUAACGCAUUAAGCAUUCCGCCUGGGGGGUACGUCGCAAGGCUG